RNAcentral lists this ribosomal RNA (500 nucleotides) under uncultured bacterium. RNAcentral describes it as "partial 16S ribosomal RNA". It matches the Rfam family "Bacterial small subunit ribosomal RNA", at positions 30 to 523 of the family's 1533-position model. The record is from RNAcentral.
AUUGAACGCUGGCGGCAUGCCUUACACAUGCAAGUCGAACGGCAGCACGGGUGCUUGCACCUGGUGGCGAGUGGCGAACGGGUGAGUAAUACAUCGGAACGUACCUUAUCGUGGGGAUAACGCAGCGAAAGUUGCGCUAAUACCGCAUACGCCCUGAGGGGGAAAGCGGGGGACCGUAAGGCCUCGCGCGAUUAGAGCGGCCGAUGUCUGAUUAGCUUGUUGGUGAGGUAAAAGCUAACCAAGGCGAUGAUCAGUAGCUGGUUUGAGAGGACGAUCAGCCACACUGGGACUGAGACACGGCCCAGACUCCUACGGGAGGCAGCAGUGGGGAAUUUUGGACAAUGGGGGCAACCCUGAUCCAGCAAUGCCGCGUGAGUGAAGAAGGCCUUCGGGUUGUAAAGCUCUUUUGUCAGGGAAGAAACAGCAGCUCUAACACAGUCUGCGAAUGACGGUACCUGAAGAAUAAGCACCGGCUAACUACGUGCCAGCCGCCGCCGUAA